RNAcentral lists this ribosomal RNA (98 nucleotides) under Prolemur simus (greater bamboo lemur). The record is from RNAcentral. Lineage: Eukaryota; Metazoa; Chordata; Mammalia; Primates; Lemuridae.
CUCUAGGGACAUGAGGUCCAAGUUCAUCUGAUCUCAGAAGCUAAGUAGGGUUAGGCCUGAUUAGUACUUGAAUGGCAAAAAUCAGGCCUUUCUAAUUU